Molecule: ribosomal RNA, 254 nt
Filed under: uncultured bacterium
Lineage: Bacteria
Description: partial 16S ribosomal RNA
Rfam family: Bacterial small subunit ribosomal RNA
Source: RNAcentral
UACGUAGGUGGCAAGCGUUUGUCCGGAUUUAUUGGGUUUAAAGGGUGCGUAGGCGGUCUUCUAAGUCAGUUGUGAAAUACUUCAGCUUAACUGGAGAGGUGCAAUUGAUACUGGAAGACUUGAGUACUGAUGAGGUAGGCGGAAUGGACGGUGUAGCGGUGAAAUGCUUAGAUAUCGUCCAGAACACCGAUAGCGAAGGCAGCUUACUAAGGAGUAACUGACGCUGAGGCACGAAAGUGUGGGGAUCAAACAGG